Labrus mixtus (cuckoo wrasse) is the source of this 1072-nucleotide long non-coding RNA. RefSeq lists it as uncharacterized. Lineage: Eukaryota; Metazoa; Chordata; Actinopteri; Labriformes; Labridae. The record is from RefSeq and is a predicted model, not a curated record. The transcript has 2 exons.
UCCGGCUGCUCGCCAGGAGUCGGUUCUCGUAGGACGGACAGCAGAAGGAGGCGGCGGCAGCGGCAGCGGCGGUCUGGGAGCCGCCUGUCCCGUCAGAGACCGACCUGGAAAUCGAAUCGCAGCAAGUCGUACUGGGGUUUGCCGACACGAAAAACUGCAUGAAGAGAACCGUGGAUAGAAAUGGUCAUUGGCUGUGUCUGCUCUUAUCUGGAUGAUGACUAUGCUAACUCUGAAGUGACGGCACUGCAUAUAGAAGUCGAAGUUUAGUUGAUCAAUCGAAUGCUUAGUCUGAAUGUUAAACCCGAAGAAAGAACGUGUGAGCAUGUUUCGUUUGUUUUUGUUCACAUCGGUUCACUUUCAUCAAUCACGUGUUUUUAUCCUCGCGAGUGACCUGCCUUUAUUAAAGCACGUCCUCAAGCUGUUGGCACACUGGUUCUGAGGGUUUCCUACAGGAAGGAGAGGUCCAUGUUCCGACCACUGGCUGAUAGAGGGAGCCCGAUAAACCCCAAAACAAGUGCUAAACUGCCAGCUGACAUGAAGCAGAUGUCCUCCUGACCCCCUUUUCUUUGGGAAGUGAAAGUCACUAUGAGACAAAUACCAGGGGGCUUGAAUGUAGCAACACCCUUCUACUACAGAGAUGGUGUGAUGUGAUCCUCCAGACUUCAUGAGCUGCAGAAACUGUUAUGAUAACAUUCAAGCCUUGGUGUGACACGGCAAGCCUUCUGAACACAUUAUCAAAACCCAUGUUUCUUGUGACUUCUGUGACAAAUGUUUUGUUUUUCUCAUUCAGGUUACUUUUUAAUGCAUCUCAAAAUGUUCUCUUCUACAAGACAGACCUGGACAAGCAAUGCAAAAUUGCAAACACAUUAAGAGCAACAACAACAACAAAAUAUGGGGGGCGCUGGUGGCGCAAUGGUUAUUGCAGGUGCCCCAUGUAUGGAGGCUGUAGUCCUCUAAGCGGGCGGCCCUGGUUCGAAACCAACCUGUGGCUCAUUCUCCACUCUCUCUCCUUGAUUUCAGACUAUUCACUGUCCUAUCUCUACAAUAAAGGCAUAAAAAGGCCAAAAGAAAA